CUACGGGCGGCUGCAGUUAGGGAACUUUUACAAUGCACGUAAGUGUGAUAAAGCGAGCCAGAGUGUUUCUCUUAUUUGAGAAACUUUUGUCUGUUGUAAAAAGACAGAUGAAUAAGGACUGGGAGAGACUGGUGCCAGCCGCCGCGGUAAUACCAGCGGUCCAAGUCGCAGUCACAAUUAUUUGGUCUAAAACAUCCGUAGCUUGUUUAGUAAGUUUUUUGUGAAAUCUUAUCUCUUAAGGGUAAGGCGCGCAAGAAGUACUGUUGAACUAGAGACUGGAAGGAGUAAGAAGUACAGUUAAGGUAGUGGUAAAAUACGUUAAUCUUGACUGGACUAACAAUAGCGAAGGCAUCUUACUAGUACAGAUCUGACAGUGAGGGAUGAAGGCUAGGGUCGCAAAACGGAUUAGAUACCCCCGUAGUC
This 423-nucleotide ribosomal RNA is filed under the name uncultured archaeon. RNAcentral describes it as "partial 16S ribosomal RNA". It matches the Rfam family "Archaeal small subunit ribosomal RNA", at positions 323 to 746 of the family's 1478-position model. The record is from RNAcentral.